UCUGAGCCGAAAAAGGUAAUAUUUCUUAAGAAACCUAUGCUCUUUGGCGGCCUUAUUUCUUAUUGGAGGAACUUGUCCACUAAUCGAAAUUACUCGUUAAUUUUCUCUUUCAUUCUGUUUUUAUACCGUCGUCUUAAGCACAUCAUCAAAAAAAUUGUCCCAAUUUGAAUCUCCAGGCAAGUCAGAUCAAGGUGAAGCUAAUAUGGGAGAUUCGGGUGAGUUAUAUAUAAGCACUACUAAGAGACUCUCCUUUAAAAAGUUGUUCGAAUUAAGAUUCAACAGUACCCUUAAACUAAUAACUUAAGGGGAAGAAGUGAAAAAAGGUGU
RNAcentral lists this ribosomal RNA (327 nucleotides) under Aname sp. MYG463. RNAcentral describes it as "partial 12S ribosomal RNA". The record is from RNAcentral. Lineage: Eukaryota; Metazoa; Arthropoda; Arachnida; Araneae; Anamidae.